RNAcentral lists this ribosomal RNA (244 nucleotides) under uncultured bacterium. Its description in RNAcentral is "partial small subunit ribosomal RNA". It matches the Rfam family "Bacterial small subunit ribosomal RNA", at positions 26 to 285 of the family's 1533-position model. The record is from RNAcentral.
AGAAUCAACGCUGGCGGCGUGCCUAACACAUGCAAGUCGCACGAGAAAGGGGCUUCGGCCCUGAGUAAAGUGGCGCACGGGUGAGUAACACGUGACUAACCUACCCUCGAGUGGGGAAUAACCUAGAGAAAUCUGGGCUAAUACCGCAUAACACUUACGAGUCAAAGCAGCAAUGCGCUUGAGGAGGGGUCGCGGCAGAUUAGUUAGUUGGCAGGGUAAUGGCCUACCAAGACGAUGAUCUGUA